Molecule: transfer RNA, 86 nt
Filed under: Marivita cryptomonadis
Lineage: Bacteria; Pseudomonadati; Pseudomonadota; Alphaproteobacteria; Rhodobacterales; Roseobacteraceae
Also listed under: 9 other names
Description: tRNA-Leu
Rfam family: tRNA
About the family: Transfer RNA (tRNA) molecules are approximately 80 nucleotides in length.
Source: RNAcentral
GCCCAAGUGGCGGAAUGGUAGACGCAGGGGAUUCAAAAUCCCCCGCUGGCAACAGCGUGCGAGUUCGAGUCUCGCCUUGGGCACCA